Molecule: ribosomal RNA, 969 nt
Filed under: Blumeria graminis
Lineage: Eukaryota; Fungi; Ascomycota; Leotiomycetes; Helotiales; Erysiphaceae
Description: eukaryotic LSU rRNA
Rfam family: Eukaryotic large subunit ribosomal RNA
Source: RNAcentral
UUGACCUCGAAUCAGGUAGGGAUACCCGCUGAACUUAAGCAUAUCAAUAAGCGGAGGAAAAGAAACCAACAGGGAUUACCUCAGUAACGGCGAGUGAAGCGGUAACAGCUCAAAUUUGAAAUCUGGUCCGUUUACGGGCCCGAGUUGUAAUUUGUAGAAGAUGCUUUGGUGACGAGUCCGGCCUAAGUUCCUUGGAACAGGACGUCAUAGAGGGUGAGAACCCCGUAUGCGGCCGGGUGCUCGAUGCUAUGUAAAGCUCUUUCGACGAGUCGAGUUGUUUGGGAAUGCAGCUCAAAAUGGGUGGUAAAUUUCAUCUAAAGCUAAAUAUUGGCCAGAGACCGAUAGCGCACAAGUAGAGUGAUCGAAAGAUGAAAAGCACUUUGGAAAGAGAGUUAAACAGUACGUGAAAUUGUUGAAAGGGAAGCGCUUGCAACCAGACUUGGGCACUGUGGAUCAUCCGAGGUUCUCCUCGGUGCACUCGGCAGUGCGCAGGCCAGCAUCAGUUUGGGUGGUUGGAUAAAGACUUGUGGAAUGUAGCUCCUUUCGGGGAGUGUUAUAGCCACAGGUGCCAUGCGACCAACCCGGACUGAGGACCGCGCUUCGGCUAGGAUGCUGGCGUAAUGGUUGUAAGCGACCCGUCUUGAAACACGGACCAAGGAGUCUAACAUCUAUGCGAGUGUUUGGGUGUUAAACCCAUACGCGGAAUGAAAGUGAACGUAGGUGAGAACCCAUAAGGGGGCAUCAUCGACCGAUCCGGAUGUCUUCGGAUGGAUUUGAGUAAGAGCAUAGCUGUUGGGACCCGAAAGAUGGUGAACUAUGCCUGAAUAGGGUGAAGCCAGAGGAAACUCUGGUGGAGGCUCGCAGNCGGUUCUGACGUGCAAAUCGAUCGUCAAAUUUGGGUAUAGGGGCGAAAGACUAAUCGAACCAUCUAGUAGCUGGUUCCUGCCGAAGUUCCCCUCAGGAANGCAA